RNAcentral lists this ribosomal RNA (1124 nucleotides) under Salmonella enterica. Its description in RNAcentral is "bacterial SSU rRNA". It matches the Rfam family "Bacterial small subunit ribosomal RNA", at positions 8 to 1121 of the family's 1533-position model. Lineage: Bacteria; Pseudomonadati; Pseudomonadota; Gammaproteobacteria; Enterobacterales; Enterobacteriaceae. The record is from RNAcentral.
AGAGUUUGAUCAUGGCUCAGAUUGAACGCUGGCGGCAGGCCUAACACAUGCAAGUCGAACGGUAACAGGAAGCAGCUUGCUGCUUCGCUGACGAGUGGCGGACGGGUGAGUAAUGUCUGGGAAACUGCCUGAUGGAGGGGGAUAACUACUGGAAACGGUGGCUAAUACCGCAUAACGUCGCAAGACCAAAGAGGGGGACCUUCGGGCCUCUUGCCAUCAGAUGUGCCCAGAUGGGAUUAGCUUGUUGGUGAGGUAACGGCUCACCAAGGCGACGAUCCCUAGCUGGUCUGAGAGGAUGACCAGCCACACUGGAACUGAGACACGGUCCAGACUCCUACGGGAGGCAGCAGUGGGGAAUAUUGCACAAUGGGCGCAAGCCUGAUGCAGCCAUGCCGCGUGUAUGAAGAAGGCCUUCGGGUUGUAAAGUACUUUCAGCGGGGAGGAAGGUGUUGUGGUUAAUAACCGCAGCAAUUGACGUUACCCGCAGAAGAAGCACCGGCUAACUCCGUGCCAGCAGCCGCGGUAAUACGGAGGGUGCAAGCGUUAAUCGGAAUUACUGGGCGUAAAGCGCACGCAGGCGGUCUGUCAAGUCGGAUGUGAAAUCCCCGGGCUCAACCUGGGAACUGCAUUCGAAACUGGCAGGCUUGAGUCUUGUAGAGGGGGGUAGAAUUCCAGGUGUAGCGGUGAAAUGCGUAGAGAUCUGGAGGAAUACCGGUGGCGAAGGCGGCCCCCUGGACAAAGACUGACGCUCAGGUGCGAAAGCGUGGGGAGCAAACAGGAUUAGAUACCCUGGUAGUCCACGCCGUAAACGAUGUCUACUUGGAGGUUGUGCCCUUGAGGCGUGGCUUCCGGAGCUAACGCGUUAAGUAGACCGCCUGGGGAGUACGGCCGCAAGGUUAAAACUCAAAUGAAUUGACGGGGGCCCGCACAAGCGGUGGAGCAUGUGGUUUAAUUCGAUGCAACGCGAAGAACCUUACCUGGUCUUGACAUCCACGGAAGUUUUCAGAGAUGGAAUGGUGCCUUCGGGAACCGUGAGACAGGUGCUGCAUGGCUGUCGUCAGCUCGUGUUGUGAAAUGUUGGGUUAAGUCCCGCAACGAGCGCAACCCUUAUCCUUAGAUCGGAA